RNAcentral lists this ribosomal RNA (381 nucleotides) under Triticum aestivum (bread wheat). RNAcentral describes it as "partial small subunit ribosomal RNA". Lineage: Eukaryota; Viridiplantae; Streptophyta; Magnoliopsida; Poales; Poaceae. The record is from RNAcentral.
AUGAACCCUGCGCGUCAGGAGAUCGACAACCUGCUUGGGCUGCUACAACACUUCGGCGAUGCCACGGGCCUCUGUGUCAACCUAGCCAAAUCAUCGAUUAUUACCAUCAGCUGCGACGACAUCGACCUAGGUAGGGUUCUACAAAACUUUGGGGGCCAUACGACGAUCUUCCCUAUAAGAUACCUAGGCCUUCGAGUCACUAUCAGCCGUAUUAGGUUAGUCCACUUUCAAUACAUCUUCGACAAGAUUAGAGCACACCUCGCGGGCUGGAAGGGCAGGCUGAUGCCCCUGGCAAGCCGGCGCGUUCUUGUGUGCUGCGUGCUCUCGAUCGUGCCUACUUUAGCGAUCACGGUGCUGCGGGUGCUGAAAAAGUUCUUCUAG